UAGCUAGUUGGUGAGGUAACGGCUUACCAAGACGACGAUCUGUAGCGGGUCUGAGAGGAUGAUCCGCCACACUGGAACUGAGACACGGUCCAGACUCCUACGGGAGGCAGCAGUGGGGAAUUUUGGACAAUGGGGGCAACCCUGAUCCAGCCAUGCCGCGUGAGUGAAGAAGGCCUUCGGGUUGUAAAGCUCUUUCGGCCGGGAAGAAAUCGCAUGGGCCAAUACCCUGUGUGGAUGACGGUACCGGAAUAAGAAGCACCGGCUAACUACGUGCCAGCAGCCGCGGUAAUACGUAGGGUGCGAGCGUUAAUCGGAAUUACUGGGCGUAAAGCGUGCGCAGGCGGUUUUGUAAGACAGGCGUGAAAUCCCCGGGCUCAACCUGGGAACUGCGUUCGUGACUGCAAGGCUAGAGUACGGCAGAGGGGGGUGGAAUUCCACGUGUAGCAGUGAAAUGCGUAGAGAUGUGGAGGAACACCAAUGGCGAAGGCAGCCCCCUGGGUCGAUACUGACGCUCAUGCACGAAAGCGUGGGUAGCAAACAGGAUUAGAUACCCUGGUAGUCCACGCCCUAAACUAUGUCAACUAGGUGUUGGGUGGGUAAAACCAUUUAGUACCGUAGCUAACGCGUGAAGUUGACCGCCUGGGGAGUACGGCCGCAAGGUUAAAACUCAAAGGAAUUGACGGGGACCCGCACAAGCGGUGGAUGAUGUGGAUUAAUUCGAUGCAACGCGAAAAACCUUACCUACCCUUGACAUGCCAGGAACUUGCCAGAGAUGGCUUGGUGCCCGAAAGGGAGCCUGAACACAGGUGCUGCAUGGCUGUCGUCAGCUCGUGUCGUGAGAUGUUGGGUUAAGUCCCGCAACGAGCGCAACCCUUGUCGUUAAUUGCCAUCAUUUAGUUGGGCACUUUAGCGAGACUGCCGGUGACAAACCGGAGGAAGGUGGGGAUGACGUCAAGUCCUCAUGGCCCUUAUGGGUAGGGCUUCACACGUCAUACAAUGGUCGGUACAGAGGGUCGCCAAGCCGCGAGGUGGAGCCAAUCCCAGAAAGCCGAUCGUAGUCCGGAUUGCAGGCUGCAACUCGCCUGCAUGAAGUCGGAAUCGCUAGUAAUCGUGGAUCAGCAUGUCACGGUGAAUACGUUCCCGGGUCUUGUACACACCGCCCGUCACACCAUGGGAGCGGGUUCCGCCAGAAGUAGGUAGCCUAACCGCAAGGAGGGCGCUUACCACGGCGGGGUUCGUGACUGGGGUGAAGUCGAACAAGGUAGCCGUAGGGGAACCUGCGGCUG
This 1286-nucleotide ribosomal RNA is filed under the name metagenome. Its description in RNAcentral is "bacterial SSU rRNA". It matches the Rfam family "Bacterial small subunit ribosomal RNA", at positions 242 to 1520 of the family's 1533-position model. The record is from RNAcentral.